This 73-nucleotide transfer RNA is filed under the name Harashuteria hirsuta. RNAcentral's name for it is "tRNA-Glu". Lineage: Eukaryota; Viridiplantae; Streptophyta; Magnoliopsida; Fabales; Fabaceae. The record is from RNAcentral.
AACCAAUCAUUUCCGUAAAGGAUUUUAUCUUUAUUUGACUUUUCUUUCACUUAUUAUUUUCUUAUUAUGACUG